UCAGAAUCCUUUCUAUUCCACAAUAAUACAUCGCCCAGAGUGCCAGCAAUCACAGCCAGGACACCUUAUGACACUUCCCUUGCCUCCAUCAUUGCUUCAAAAAGUAGAAAUGUGGGUGUAGGGAAGGAAGGUGCACCAAGACAGAAGCCUUUACAAAAUGAACCAGAAUCAGUUCUGGGUGACUUGAGCUGCCCAAGAGGGUCAAUCUGUUCUUUAUUUAGAAAAGAGCAAAUAAAGGACAAGAGCGAACAAAUGCUUGAGAAUGUUCCUCUUCCUUAAGAUUUUUGAAAAGAAUUUCAUGAUUGAAAACAGGAAGAACAAGGCCAGAGGUCUUAACAGAGUUAAAGCAAGCAGAGAUAGUAUCAAGUUGAAGGAGACAGAGGAGAUGAAAAAGACAUCAAAUCCAAAUUUCAAACAUAAAACUAACAUGUUUUAAACAGAGCUUUUUGUCCAAUUCUGUCUAGAGAGGAUCUAAUCACUCUCUGGUGUCUCUGACCAAAGAAUUCCUACAUACCAGGAAUUCUCCCUCUCAACAGUGUGAACCAGGUAUUUAAGUAAUGUUGAUACUACAGCAGAUGUUUCCAGUAGAUGCUGAUGAAUCUGAAUAGCCCAACCUUAUUGCACCCUCCUUACUCGAGGUGCCAAAGGGGCCUGAAGGAAGCUGAUGCUAUGCCAAGAGUUAAUUUAUGUUGUAGCUCAGUGUUGGCAGCACUACUGUUAUCACAGAGCAACCAAACCUACAAAUCAGAUCGAGUCCAAGCCAAAUCAACUCUGAAGAUUAUGGAUUUGGGAUCCAACUUUCUGAUAUUCUUAAGAGUAAUGAGAUUUUAUCUUAAAAUGCCAGAACAAGACAAAAGAGCAAACCAUUACUUAUUUGGCACAGGAUAAAGCACUGUGUUUAGCAGGUCUCAAGCAGAUACUAUUAGUUUUAAGUCCCCAGAUUCAGUCAGGUGCUAUUCCAACUUUGCCAAGAUGCACAAUGUACCAAUCCUUCUAUUCAGCCCAUUCUGACAUUUUCUUCAAUAUCCAAGGUCAGGAUGUGUGACCACUGGGAGAACUUACCCAUUCAGUAUUUUCACACAACAUUCAGAGUUCUUGGGAUUAUUCACAGCUCAGAUAAGGAGGAAGUUGCUGCAGAUACUUGACCUGAAUGCAGUGUUCCUCCUCCCUGAGGAAGUGACCCCACACAUGAUGCAGGCACAGGCAAUGAGGUCCCUUGGAUACCCAGGGGAGGGACAGCAGCUCACCCCUCUGCUCUGAUCAUGGACCACCUUCACAACUGAACACAUGCAGCUCAAAAAUAGCAGCUCAGGGCAAACAGCUGAAGGAACCUGGACCCUGAGCUGAUAAAUGAGAGGGACAUCAGGUGCAGACACCUUGCUGAGAAGACUCUUUGGCUGAAGAAACCCAGCCCUUUUUGGAGAGCAGCGUUCUGCCCCUCUGCCACUGCUGUUGCAGUGCAGAUGUCAGGAAGUUCACGCUGCUGGUGGACGUUUGCAGAGUGAAUCAUGGGGCACCACUUUCCAUUUUGACAAAAACAACUGCUGCUCAGUCAACAAGAUGCUGCUGAUGAAAUGGGUGGAUAGAACUCCUGUAACUGCUGCCAAAAAGGCUCCACCAGCACAAGCAAGCUGUGUGAGCUGCCUUGGAGAACUGGGAUUUAUUUUUCCCUUCCUAUUCUUAAGAGACUACUCACCUAAGGGGCUCAGCCCAUGGCUACCAGCUUUGACCUGCAAGUGGAGAAAAUGCUUGUUGCUGGAAGAGACUAGAAUAAUUAAAUUGGGGUGAACAAAAGGCAGAUAAUGUUUUAUGGAACAUGGAGUGCUAUAGGAGACAAGAAAAACAGCUUCCUCUGGUGCCUAUUGCCAAAAUUUCAGAGGACCAGACAACAACUUGAGAAUUUCCAAGGGAACAGCCACUGAGUCAGUCAAAAAUAGAACUAGGAAACUGCCUGUUUCAAAAGUAUCUCUGUAAGAUGUGCCAGCAUUUUUCAGUAUUUCUGUAAUUUCCGAGUAGAACACUCAAGAGUUAACACACAUAUAUCUACCCCCCCCAAAAAAAAAGCCAACCCACAGAAAAAGACAAAAUGAGAAAGGAAAUCUAUGUAGCAAAGAAACACUCAUCAUAUUUCAUAUACUUAAAAUAAAAAUCACUGAUCACUUUUGCACACAUUUAUGCAAAGUUUAUUAUUCUUUGCAAUUUUCAAACAUCUCUACUUCCUUAGGCAUCAUCAACAACCAAGGACAGCUUUCCUGCAGUCACCCUGUUAUUCAAAAUGUGGAUAAAUCUAAACAUGCAAAAAUAGGCAAUACUGCAUGCUCUUCCCUGAAAGAGGAUGGUAAGACUUAUACUGUUCUUUUUUUUUUUAUUUCAAUGAUUAAAAGCAAGAAAGGCUUAAGGGAAAGGGAGUAACUUUCUAUUUUAUUAUUCCUCGCUGUUAGUUUUCUGCUAUAUAGGUUAUAAUGUGGCACUCAUUAACAAUUCAUAGAAAAUUACCAUAUUCAAGUAGCACAGCAAGUUUUUACUACCUACCCAGGCAAAAUCCUGCAUAACCCUACUUGCUCCCUUUACAUAUUGUCCCAGAGGGAUCUCAUGCUGGAAAAGCUGGCAUUUUAUCACCUAACGGGAGAGGAAUUCCAACAGGUUGGAAACUCCAAGGAGCCCGGAACAGAAAAACAUUCCAUUAAAUCACAGACAAUGCAGAGCUGCUCAGCAAAAUGAAGCUCUGGAGAUGUGUGCUGGAGGCUGCCUCGGAAUUAAAAACCCCGAUGGGAUUCUGGAGCAAUGUCCCACUGCUUUGAACUUCUCGGUGCGUUUUAGAGGGAUGCAAAUGCAAGACCAGAGGUAUCGGCUUUGUCUCGGAGGGAUUCACGCUGCAUCUUUUACAGACCCUCGAUCAGAAUCAGUUGAUCAUUGCAGUAGCUUAACUCAUCUAUUUUACAAGUCAGGAAAUGAAAGCACCUAAAUGACUGAAUAAAUAUCACAAAUUAGCAAGGGUCUACAGUGCUCAUCAAUUUUAACUCCCAUAUAAAUCAGCAGCUUUGACAGACAUGCACACUAGACAGAGUGUGCCCACACUAUGCAGAGGCACCCAGAAAUUCAGCAUAGAAAUUUGGCUUUGAUGAUGUAAUCAAAUUCAGGAAAAAAAAGGGAGAAUCUAAAUUAAAGUUCAACAAUUCCUUUCUUCUAGACAGCUUGUAGGAACAAACAUGUUUGCUGCUGCUUAAACUUUUAAAUCAGCUUAGCAGACUUGAGAAAUUGAAUCAAGAAGCUGAAAUUUGAAGUGCCUAAACACCGAGACCUUCCCAGCGUUAACCACAUUGCUACAGAAGAACCAUUAAGAAAUAAGUAGUGGUAUAAUGCAGGCAAAUUCCAGUCUGAGACCGAGGUUCUGUUUUCAAGACUUAUGAAAUUAUUUCCUUGGAUCUCUUGGUUGGCGAUCAUAAUCAUAAACUCUGGGUGCAAAUCUGGCACUCAAGAAACCUUAUAACUAAAAUGAAUUGGAAGCAUCCUUAAGCUCAGCAAAAAAGAUCUUGGCACGUGGCUCACGUUGCCUGUGGGGCAGGUAAGGACAAAUAUCAACACCUCACCAGCAUGAGCUCACCCUGCAGGCACAAUCUUCCCAUGAACGUGCUCAGUGCCACUCGUGCUGCCUCUGCUGUGCCACUUGUCCCCCACACACAGAGUGGAUGCAAACUGCUCCUCUCCUCAAGGUCUCAUUUUCUGGAAACAGCUCACUGCCAGAGCAGAACCUCCCUUACCAAAAGACCUAAAUGCCCAGAAGCAGGAGGCACAGGCAAUGAACUGGGAAAGCAGCAAGAAUAGGUGCUCAGUUUUCCAUGCUCCUAUAAAAGCAAGUGAUAAUUUAAAAUCUCCAGCAGAUACUAUAGUAGGAGGGCAAUGAAGCAAGAGAACAGAUUGCAUGAAAAGGAAAAAGUGCCCUAUGGAGUUUGUGACCUGUUUACCAUAAGUAAAUAAAUAAAUGAAAGCAAAACAACCCCCUGAGGUGACAGUUUGCAUGAGGGACAUUAGUGACUCUGUCAUGUAGAAGCCUAUAGAAACAACUGCCAUUACAGAACAAAGGAUUGAUUGGCCACACAACAGGAACUCGGGAGAGAAAGCAGAUGUGAAAGAAGGGAAGAGGAAGAUUUGGAAAUGAGGACAGCAGGGAAGUCACUCUGAAUAUUGCCCAACUAACACCACUGCCCUGGUACACAGCAGCUGAAGGCAAAGAGGAAAAUGGAGCAGUUUGAGAACACCAUGAAAUGAAGAGAGAACACACAAGCCAGGUCAAUUCUUUCUACCCCACAAUGAAUCACUCAACAACUCUUUCUGCUCCUGUGGCAGGUGAACCAUCACAAUUUUGCCUCCUUUGUUAGGGUUAUUUAGUUCACUUGCUGACAGCAUUGAAAGAGUGCUGGCUCAGCCAGAGGGAGUGACAGCUUCGAUUCCUGCAGGAGCUGCUGUCCAAGGAAUCAGCCUGGGCUGUCCCUGCCUGUGGAACUGUCCUCUAUUCCCUGAUCUGGAGACAGGGUCCAGAAUAAACCUUAUCCCUUUCAGUUCCACUGCUAUCAAAAAUCAGGAAUGUGUUAUUUUGUCCUCUUUGAUCUCACUCAAACCAUGAAAACAACAGCCUAAGCAUUUUGCCUUGCUGUGUCUUGGGGAGCUGGAAACCUUUUACCAGCAAGAAAUUCUUACAGCAGUUACCAUGGCGACUCUGGUAAUAGAUAUUUAAAGGCAGUUCACUCAUAAUCACAUUCAUUAGAUAUCAGGAGGCUUUAGUAAGAGAGGCACAAAAAGCUUGAAACCAGGGAGCCUUCCAGGCUUGGUGAUGGUAUAAGAAAUUUAUAGGGAGGGAUCUGCUUAUCCCAUCAUUUAGCUGGACACAAAGGGCUCCUGUUCAAACAUGGAAUGGCACUGAAGCUUGCAGAAUAAACUAUUUUUAGUUUGUCAAUUUAAAAAUUGGUUCUGAAAGCCUCAUUUCAAUCGUGGUACUUCAAUAAAUCCUUUCAGAGUGGCCAUUGCCAGAAAUAUAAGAAAUAGCUGUGCCACAGCUCCAUCCCCCAUUAGAGCCAGGCUGCUGGGAAUCUCCUGGUCUGCCAUCACCUGGAAACUCAAAUCUGGAUAAAGCUCUGAGUUGAAGAGGUAUGUUUGGUUAUACAAACGUUAAAUAAUUUAUUUCUUUAGGUUUGAGUCCACAGCUUUCCAAUCCACUAGAACACAGCCAUGAGAAUCUGCAGAAGCAGAUCUCCAGAUAGGGAGCCACUUCACCAGGCUGCCUAAACCUGUGUUACAGUCAUCAAACUGAGAUUUCCUUUCUCUUUUUGCUGCAUAUUUCCAUGACAACUUUCCUGCAGUAUCAACUUCUUUCUAUUGGAAAGGUUUCUCAAAGAGAAUUUAGGCUUCUAUAGCAACAGCUGAAAGCCCUGGGAGAUGAUGAUGCCUGAAACUUUUUUUUAGACCACACAAGUGUGUUUUAAAUUUUAUAGAUGAAAACAAAAAUAUAUGUAAUAUUGGGUAAACUGUGAAGAGAAGAAGUACCUUGCUGAAGUGGAACAAACACAAAGAAACCACCUACUUUCAAAAGGGAUGCAGACUUUGAGAUCUAAAACGCUGGGAGAGAGCAGACAGGAUCAAACACUCAUCUUGAAAAGCCACAUCCUGUUCCUUCUCUCUGAGUUACAAAGCACAGUCACAAGGAACGAGUCUGCUGAUCCUAAAAAGAGAUUUUAGCCCAAGAUCUCUCUCUGCAUCCUAUUUUAUAUUGCCUUAAAGCAAAAAAAAAGAAAAAAAAAUUGGAAAAUCAGUGAGUCAGGAUUCCUUUUGAGUUUUAACUCCAAUACACCUGCCACCUACCUAUAACCUAACCUUUUUCUUAGUACUUUAGCAGUUUGCCAUGGUAGUGACACAGUAUUCUCCAAUACUGAAAGCUUUAGAAGAAAAAAAAACUUUGAAAGAAAAAAAAAAAAAAAAAAAAAAAAGCCCAGCUGCACUCUGAACCAAAUAAAUUUGCUAAACUCAAAAGCCAAGGAAGGUAUAGAAGCUGAAGCAGAUGUAUUUCACAAAGCACUUCACUUCUCCAGUACACUUCCAAACUUCAAGUUUUUUAAAGAAGAAAAAAAAAGACAAAACAUCACAUUCACAAGGUCAGUGAGAAGUAGGAAAGGAUGAAAUUUAAUGUAUAGAUGAGAAUGCCAAAGGGUGGAAAUGAAGCCCAGCAGGUCCCAGCACCUUCCCUUUUACAGCCACUGGAAACCUCUUUGUACACAACAAGUGAGAUAGCAGUGUGAGCACCUCAAAGAAGCCCCACUUUUCUGCUUGUAGUAAUUAAAAGUUUUUCCUUUUUUCAUUAAAGUACCCAUUAAUUUA
Long non-coding RNA from Taeniopygia guttata (zebra finch), 6369 nucleotides. RefSeq lists it as uncharacterized. NCBI's taxonomy places the organism in Eukaryota, Metazoa, Chordata, Aves, Passeriformes, Estrildidae. The record is from RefSeq and is a predicted model, not a curated record.